Molecule: long non-coding RNA, 2132 nt
Organism: Alosa sapidissima (American shad)
Lineage: Eukaryota; Metazoa; Chordata; Actinopteri; Clupeiformes; Clupeidae
Exons: 2
Source: RefSeq, a predicted model, not a curated record
GUGUGUCACUUGGGGGUGGGGUGGGGUUGUUGGUGGUUAAAUCUUGUAAAGGGUUUUCCUAAUAUGGGCUGUCUCUAGUGAGCUGGCCCCUCCUCCUGGUUGUUUGGUGGGCGUUUCAUUUACUGCUCUCAGCCAGUUAUGACACAGGGCUCGACUACUUCCUCAUUAAUUGGCUGAAACCAGUUCUUACAGGAACCGCCGGUGAUAAAUGUGAGAGUUCUGAGAAAUCAUUCAUUUCUUUCCUCUGCUGCGCUACGGAGCACUGUUGGGGACUGCUGCCUGUGUGUGUGUGUGUGUGUGUGUGUCUGUUUGUGUGUGUGUGUCUGUCUGCGUGACUGACUAGCCAUGUUUUUUGACUCUCUUAACUUACAUUUUUGACCCUGUUUUUUCUUAGGAUAGUGCUUAGGAUAUGCGACUCUCAGUACAUCCUGUACUUUUUGCUUGUGUGUGUGUUUUUUUUUUUUGUUCCUAUCUAUGGGGGAUGAAGUGUUAAGUCGUGGGCUGACUCUCUCACUCUCCCUCCCUUGUCUGUGCGGAGCCAAUGCACUUACUGCUCUUUCAGUGGUGAGUAACGCUGAUGCGAUCAGCCUUGUUCUCUCUCUCUCUCUCUCCUUCUCUGUCCUUCUCUUCCCUCCCUCCUUUCCCCCUUUCUCUUUCUUUCUCCCUUUUCUGCCCCUCCCUCCUUCUCUCCUUUUCUCUCUCUCUCUCUCUCUCUCUCUCUCUCUCUCUCUCUCUCUCUCUCUCUCUCUCCCCCUCUCUCUCUCUCUUUGUGGAUGUGUUCCAGCGUGGUGCCCUUGGUGGGUGCCUCUCUUCAGAAGCCUGUAAGGGAGUAUCAGGAGGCCCAGCGUGCGAAGCUCCACCAUCGGGCGGGAGAGGGCACUCCAGCUCAAGGCUGUGCGCGGUGGGAAAGACUGCCCGGACUUAUAAGCACCGCUUCGCUAAAAGAGUCCCUCUCCUCUGCUUCUCCUCUCGGCAGCCACUCCUCUCGCUGGCAGGGUAAGUCGAUGCUGGCAGGUUGAUGCACGAUGUGCUCCUUCGACAGAUGUGUGUGUGUGUGUGUGUGCGUGUGUGGUUUUUUUGUUUCUGUUUUCAGUCGUACUCCCAGCCUGUCAGAUAGCUUAUCAGACUGGUGUUGGCUGUUAAAUUGCAUGGCGACAACAGUCUGUAGGCUGUCUGACAUUUUGGGCUCUCUCAUCGACCGGCAUCUUUUUUUGUGUGUGUGUGUGUCUCUGUAUUUGUUUAGGGGAUUUGAAAGGGUUAUCAUUUCUGUCUUCAUUGUAUGUCAUUUAGUCAUUGUUGUUUAUGUAAUAUAAUGACAUGUAUUAUACACACAUUUCAGAUGGAUUGCUUUUGGCCAGACAUUAUCAUUUUUGUCUUAUUUUUGUGAAUGUGUAAAAUAACAGCCAUGCCAGUGUCACCAUUCUUUUAGUCUGUCCCAUUUAAAAAAUCUCUGAAUUUACCUGUGGAUACAUGUGGCAGUAAAUGAGCAUGCUUUUGUGUGUGUGUGUGUGUGUGUGUGUGUAUGUGACUCGGUUCUCCACAGUAUUACUGUCUUCCCGUUAAUACAGGCUUCUGUGUGUAUUUCCGGGGUUUGGCUCAGUCCACUUGAAUUUCCUGAGAAUCCAGAGAUCACACACACGCACCCACGUACGUGCGCGCGCACACACACACAGACACACAUACACACCUUAUUGCAACAUGCAGCGAUGGCAGAGAAUCGGUGAGGUGCUCGCAGCCGACUCCCUCCCCCUGCCUUCCCCUUACUCAUUGGCUGCUAGCCAGUCUUGCUCUUUUUUGGUUGUUGUUGUUAUGGCCUAUAGGGUUACCUUUUUAUUAAAAUGAUAAUAUUCUUCAUUAUUAUUAUUAUUGUUUUAUUAUUAUUAUUAUUAUUAUAGUUGUUGUUGUUAUUAGUGGUAUUAGUAUUUGUAUUAGUAGUAGUAGUACUAGUAUUAUUAUAUGUUUGGACUAGUCUGCUUGGCUCAAUCACUCAGGGAGUAUGUUUUCCAGUGUAGUUUUCAGAACAUCCUGUUCUGUGAGGAAGCCCCCUUUCAUAUUUUUUUUUUAAAAUACUGUUUAUUUGCAAUGAAUGUGCUGACUCUUUUUUUCCUCAAAUAAAGUCCCAGACACCGAAA